Molecule: ribosomal RNA, 253 nt
Filed under: uncultured bacterium
Lineage: Bacteria
Description: partial 16S ribosomal RNA
Rfam family: Bacterial small subunit ribosomal RNA
Source: RNAcentral
UACGGAGGAUGCGAGCGUUGUCCGGAUUUAUUGGGUUUAAAGGGUGCGUAGGCGGAUGAGUAAGUCAGUGGUGAAAGCCUGCAGCUUAACUGUAGAAUUGCCAUUGAUACUGCUUGUCUUGAGGAUAGUUGAGGUGGGCGGAAUAUGACAUGUAGCGGUGAAAUGCUUAGAUAUGUCAUAGAACACCGAUUGCGAAGGCAGCUCACUAUGCUAUAUCUGACGCUGAGGCACGAAAGCGUUGGUAGCAAACAGG